UUAUAGUGUCCACUACAAGUCGGGAGCACUACGUGUGGAUACUAUGUCAUGAAGUAUAUGAGAGAAAUUGUAAAUAGGGGAAGCAUUGUCAUCUCGGAUUCGAUUGAUACACGAAAAUCAUACUCACAAGCCGAGUUAGAUGAGGUGCGGGUUGAGUUGGUAGAGUUUUUGGGUUCGUACAUGUGAUCUAGGACUUAUGACGUCAUCUCUGAAAAAGGAAAUUAACUUUAUUUUUUGUGGCUGAUUUUUUGAAAUGUUCAUAUGGAGGGGAGGGGUUGAUUGAUAUACUUUUGUGACUUUGUAGAGGAUUACAAUUUAGGUAAAUUGUUAAUAGGUGAACUGUUCAUAUAUGUAGGGGGUUGCCAUUAUGAAAGUUUAUGUAUUGGGGAUGAUAUACUUUUGAGCUAGGUUAGUUAAUUAGAUAAUGUUUAGUUCGAUUCUUGGAAAUCUGUUGAAAUUGUUUAUAUAUAUAUUGGUUUUGUAAAUGAUAUAUGAAUAUGAUGCAAAGUUUUGGAAAUGAUAUUGAAUGGAUGAUGUUUAGUUGCCAUUUGAUGUA
Cucumis melo (muskmelon) is the source of this 556-nucleotide long non-coding RNA. RefSeq lists it as uncharacterized. Lineage: Eukaryota; Viridiplantae; Streptophyta; Magnoliopsida; Cucurbitales; Cucurbitaceae. The transcript has 2 exons. The record is from RefSeq and is a predicted model, not a curated record.